RNAcentral lists this transfer RNA (66 nucleotides) under Doto coronata. Its description in RNAcentral is "tRNA-Asn". Lineage: Eukaryota; Metazoa; Mollusca; Gastropoda; Nudibranchia; Dotidae. The record is from RNAcentral.
AAGGAUGAAGCUAAUUUAGCAUUUAACUGUUAAUUAAAAGAUAGCACUUUUAAGGUGCCUUCCUUU